This 2931-nucleotide ribosomal RNA is filed under the name Enterobacter roggenkampii. Its description in RNAcentral is "bacterial LSU rRNA". It matches the Rfam family "Bacterial large subunit ribosomal RNA". The record is from RNAcentral. Lineage: Bacteria; Pseudomonadati; Pseudomonadota; Gammaproteobacteria; Enterobacterales; Enterobacteriaceae.
GGGUUGUGAGGUUAAGCGACUAAGCGUACACGGUGGAUGCCCUGGCAGUCAGAGGCGAUGAAGGACGUGCUAAUCUGCGAAAAGCGCCGGCGAGGUGAUAUGAACCUUUGACCCGGCGAUGUCCGAAUGGGGAAACCCAGUGUGUUCCGACACACUAUCGUUAACUGAAUACAUAGGUUAACGAGGCGAACCGGGGGAACUGAAACAUCUAAGUACCCCGAGGAAAAGAAAUCAACCGAGAUUCCCCCAGUAGCGGCGAGCGAACGGGGAGCAGCCCAGAGUCUGAAUCAGCUUGUGUGUUAGUGGAAGCGUCUGGAAAGUCGCACGGUACAGGGUGACAGUCCCGUACACGAAAAUGCACAGGUUGUGAACUCGAAGAGUAGGGCGGGACACGUGGUAUCCUGUCUGAAUAUGGGGGGACCAUCCUCCAAGGCUAAAUACUCCUGACUGACCGAUAGUGAACCAGUACCGUGAGGGAAAGGCGAAAAGAACCCCGGCGAGGGGAGUGAAAAAGAACCUGAAACCGUGUACGUACAAGCAGUGGGAGCACCUUCGUGGUGUGACUGCGUACCUUUUGUAUAAUGGGUCAGCGACUUAUAUUCUGUAGCAAGGUUAACCGUAUAGGGGAGCCGAAGGGAAACCGAGUCUUAACUGGGCGUUAAGUUGCAGGGUAUAGACCCGAAACCCGGUGAUCUAGCCAUGGGCAGGUUGAAGGUUGGGUAACACUAACUGGAGGACCGAACCGACUAAUGUUGAAAAAUUAGCGGAUGACUUGUGGCUGGGGGUGAAAGGCCAAUCAAACCGGGAGAUAGCUGGUUCUCCCCGAAAGCUAUUUAGGUAGCGCCUCGUGAACUCAUCUUCGGGGGUAGAGCACUGUUUCGGCUAGGGGGCCAUCCCGGCUUACCAACCCGAUGCAAACUACGAAUACCGAAGAAUGUUAUCACGGGAGACACACGGCGGGUGCUAACGUCCGUCGUGAAGAGGGAAACAACCCAGACCGCCAGCUAAGGUCCCAAAGUCAUGGUUAAGUGGGAAACGAUGUGGGAAGGCACAGACAGCCAGGAUGUUGGCUUAGAAGCAGCCAUCAUUUAAAGAAAGCGUAAUAGCUCACUGGUCGAGUCGGCCUGCGCGGAAGAUGUAACGGGGCUAAACCAUGCACCGAAGCUGCGGCAGCGACACUAUGUGUUGUUGGGUAGGGGAGCGUUCUGUAAGCCGUUGAAGGUGUGCUGUGAGGCAUGCUGGAGGUAUCAGAAGUGCGAAUGCUGACAUAAGUAACGAUAAAGCGGGUGAAAAGCCCGCUCGCCGGAAGACCAAGGGUUCCUGUCCAACGUUAAUCGGGGCAGGGUGAGUCGACCCCUAAGGCGAGGCCGAAAGGCGUAGUCGAUGGGAAACAGGUUAAUAUUCCUGUACUUGGUGUUACUGCGAAGGGGGGACGGAGAAGGCUAUGUUAGCCGGGCGACGGUUGUCCCGGUUUAAGCAUGUAGGCGGAGGUUCCAGGUAAAUCCGGUACCUUUUAACGCUGAGGUGUGAUGACGAGGCACUACGGUGCUGAAGUAACAAAUGCCCUGCUUCCAGGAAAAGCCUCUAAGCAUCAGGUAACAUCAAAUCGUACCCCAAACCGACACAGGUGGUCAGGUAGAGAAUACCAAGGCGCUUGAGAGAACUCGGGUGAAGGAACUAGGCAAAAUGGUGCCGUAACUUCGGGAGAAGGCACGCUGAUAUGUAGGUGAAGCCCCUGCGGGUGGAGCUGAAAUCAGUCGAAGAUACCAGCUGGCUGCAACUGUUUAUUAAAAACACAGCACUGUGCAAACACGAAAGUGGACGUAUACGGUGUGACGCCUGCCCGGUGCCGGAAGGUUAAUUGAUGGGGUUAGCGGCAACGCGAAGCUCUUGAUCGAAGCCCCGGUAAACGGCGGCCGUAACUAUAACGGUCCUAAGGUAGCGAAAUUCCUUGUCGGGUAAGUUCCGACCUGCACGAAUGGCGUAAUGAUGGCCAGGCUGUCUCCACCCGAGACUCAGUGAAAUUGAACUCGCUGUGAAGAUGCAGUGUACCCGCGGCAAGACGGAAAGACCCCGUGAACCUUUACUAUAGCUUGACACUGAACACUGGUCCUUGAUGUGUAGGAUAGGUGGGAGGCUUUGAAGCGUGGACGCCAGUCUGCGUGGAGCCGUCCUUGAAAUACCACCCUUUAAUGGCUGGUGUUCUAACGUAGACCCGUAAUCCGGGUUGCGGACAGUGUCUGGUGGGUAGUUUGACUGGGGCGGUCUCCUCCCAAAGAGUAACGGAGGAGCACGAAGGUUAGCUAAUCCUGGUCGGACAUCAGGAGGUUAGUGCAAUGGCAUAAGCUAGCUUGACUGCGAGAGUGACGGCUCGAGCAGGUGCGAAAGCAGGUCAUAGUGAUCCGGUGGUUCUGAAUGGAAGGGCCAUCGCUCAACGGAUAAAAGGUACUCCGGGGAUAACAGGCUGAUACCGCCCAAGAGUUCAUAUCGACGGCGGUGUUUGGCACCUCGAUGUCGGCUCAUCACAUCCUGGGGCUGAAGUAGGUCCCAAGGGUAUGGCUGUUCGCCAUUUAAAGUGGUACGCGAGCUGGGUUUAGAACGUCGUGAGACAGUUCGGUCCCUAUCUGCCGUGGGCGCUGGAGAAUUGAGGGGGGCUGCUCCUAGUACGAGAGGACCGGAGUGGACGCAUCACUGGUGUUCGGGUUGUCAUGCCAAUGGCACUGCCCGGUAGCUAAAUGCGGAAAAGAUAAGUGCUGAAAGCAUCUAAGCACGAAACUUGCCCCGAGAUGAGUUCUCCCUGAGACUUUAAGUCUCCUGAAGGAACGUUGAAGACGACGACGUUGAUAGGUCGGGUGUGUAAGCGCAGCGAUGCGUUGAGCUAACCGAUACUAAUGAACCGUGAGGCUUAACCUUACAACGCCGAAGGUGUUU